GCGCGGGCCGUGCCCAGCUCGCGGGGUGCCGAGCAGCCGGGAGACCCCAGACAGUUCCGCCCUCCCGGGGGCUGCGUGGGUCCGGGCUGAAUCCCGGGAGGGCACGCGCGCACCCCUUCGCGGGGGCGUGCACCGUUCUGUGGGGAUUUUUCACGUCCCAAGUGCUUUUCUUUCUUUGUUUUCCUCACUAAGCAUCGCAGAGAUGGAAGCUUGCAACGACCUUGGCGACCCAACUUGGCCGACGUGCGUCCUCCUCGCUUUACCUGGGGACACAGGCUUUGCCCGUCCGUGGGGGCCAGACCUCCGGGUGGUCUCAUUUCCUGCCGUCUCCUGCCGCUGGGGGGGGCGGGGGGCGCCUCCCGGGCCGGGCUUAGCCCCGAACCCCCGCAAGUCUGGCACUUGAGCAUUUCAGAGGGAACGCUUUUCUUAAGGAGGUGGAUUCUAUGAUACAAAGAAGUUCUGGAAGCUGGAGAUGGAAGGUGCUGGCAACGUUGGUUCCUGAACCCCCGGAUUUGGAGGCACACCAGCUUGAGAAGCACUGGCUCCAGGACCUACAGAGGUUGACUGCACUCCCUGUGGGACACCUUCAUAAAUACUGAUUCUCUUGGCCAAACUUCUGCUACGCACAUAAUGGACCGCAGUCAGGUUAAAAUGCCAUUCCCUGACAUCGAUUUAAAAUGUGGCUAAUCUGUUCUUUGCCACAUCUGCUGCGAGAACAAAGACCAUUCUCAGCAAUCAGGCUUUGGACGGUCAAAGAAAUGUCGACCCUGCUCUGCAGGGACGCGCUGCUAACGUGAAGGGCCCCACAGGAACCCUGCCAAAGGACUUCAAUCACAUCAGCAUAGAACUCGGUCUCCUUGGAAAGGAGAAGAAGAGGCUCCGAGUUGACAAAUGGUAGGAACCAGAAGAGAACUGGCUACUGUCUGCACCAACUGUAGUCGUGUGCAGAAGGUGAUCGAGGGUGUUACUCUGGGCUUCCGGUACAAGAUGAGGUGACUGAGGAAGUGUAUGCUCACUUCCCCAUUAACGUUGUUAUCUAGGAGAAGGGUUCUCUUCUCGAAAUCCGAAAUUUCUCGGGUGAAAAAAUACAUCUGCAGGGCUUGGAUGAGGCCAGGUGUUGCUUGUUCUGAAUCUCAAGCCCAGAAAGAGGAGUUAAUUCUUGAAGGAAAUGACCUUGAACUUGUAUCAAAUUCAACUGCUUUGAUUCAGCAAGCUACAACUGUUAAAAACACGGCUAUCAGAAAAUCCGCGGUGCUAUGUAUGUUUCUGAAAAAGGAACGGUUCAGCAGGCUGAUGGGUAAGAUCUAAGCUGUCCAGCUACAGAAGCAGCAGGAUGCCAGAUGAUUUUUUUUUAGACUUAUUUGUGAGAGUUUAAAGAUGCAAUAAUAGCUGUAUUGACCCGGGGGAUUUUUCUUAAAAAAAAAAAAAUGCAGCUAAUCUUCAAAAUGGCAAGUGCAGGAUGGUCUUCUUUACUGUUAGCUGCACUGAGGACCCUGUUGCAUCGUCUUACAAAAACCAGGUGGCUUCAACAGCAGACCAACCUCACUACCACCACAGACUUUGGAACAAAAAGCUCAAUAUAACUUUCCUUUGGGUCACAGAAUUGCAUGCUUGUGUGGUUGCUCACUAUGGAAAAUUCAAAAUGAGUCUGGGCGAGCCUCCUAGCCAGGGUCCCAGGAGACGACAGAAUGUUCUGGAACUUUGAGGGGAUCUGGAAGUUCUCUGCCAAGAAGAGUGUGACGGUGAAGGUCUAGGGACAGACCACACAAUCCUCUUUAGUUAGCUUAGUUAUGAUCACCCGGUGUUGAGCAGCUUAAGGACAAGGAAGCAGGUAGUAGGAAGAGUCUCUAAGGAGCAGAAGGGUCCCUGAAGAAUCGCCCUGGGAGGGGAGCUGCUGUGCCGUGUCCACCACCGCAGGAAGCUGCCACCACAGCUGCCCGGUGCUCUUGAAGCUGGAGCCUGCCGCAAGCCAUCAAGGCCCAGCUGUCCCAGAAGGACCGCGUUCCUGUCUCUCUGUCCUUCUGGAAGGGUCCUGCCUUCUGAAGGGUGGCGCCUUCUGCCUUCUGAGCCUCCUGGGGGUGCUCCUGCUUGGUAGGAACUAGGUCACAUGAGAAGCCCAACUGCCAGGGCAUCUGCUACAGCCAGCCUCAUUGUUGGUCCGCUGUCACAGCCAGUGACUUCACAUGACUGUGUCCUCAGAGCACGGCACAAUGACUGCAGGGCAAAGCCACCCCAGGGUCUGGGGUGCUUUGGACCGAAGCAGCUCCUAGCUGGUUUCACCUCUUAUCCCAGAGUGCUCUGAGGGCUCUGUCACUCAGACUAGGCUCCUGUGCUCGAGGGGCCGGGGAAGGAGAUGGGGGAGCUGGAGAGGCCCCGGGCCCCGGGCAUGGGGAAGAGAGUAUCUGAUUGCAGGGCCAGGGGCCGGGCCGGCUCUGAGGACCGAAGCUGCAGGAAGUCUGGCAGAGACAGCCACCCCGGCUGUGUCAGUGACAAUCUCAGGGCAAAGAGCACCCCCUGACCUCCGUGCCCUGUCCCCCUGCCUCUUCCAAAAUGCCAUGCUGCUCUGAACACAAGGACUCCGCUGGACUUGGCCAUGGACCUGCAGUUUUGAGUCCUGGGUCUUGUCCUUGAGCGGCUGAGGAUGGAGAGGGAAGAGGGCAUGAGCGUGCUGGGCAUCAGGCAGGGAGCAGGACGCCCUGAGAGAGAAGGGGGCGGGGAGGUGGCCCGCGGGAGCACCCAGGGGGAGCACUUAUGCUUUCCCUGGAUUUGGGAUCGAGUCUCAGGUAUGUCAAGACGUCAUUUCAGUUUCUAUCUGAAAAAGGAUCUGAAAAGGGAUCUACGCGGUUGACUGAGUGUUCCCCCCCCCCCCCCAUGGUUUUAGUAAACUCUGCUAGUUCUCAGAUAACACCAUUUGGGCGCAGGCUGUUCUUGCUUUCACACGAGCAGUAGGAAUCACGCUGGCCUUGGCCCUGGUCAGAUUGCUCAUCAGCAGUCACUGCUCGUAGGAGGUAAAAUAAGGAAGUAAAGAGCUUUCUUACAAACAUCAAAGGCUUAUCAACAGCAGACUGACAAUGGUAGAAGCAUCUAGAAGUGGAGUGCCUGCUGCGUGGCAGGUGUUUCGUUUUCAUUGUGGUGUCCCACUUAUCUGCUGAAGCAGGAAGGCCUUUCCCAUUCUGUGGUGGUCCACGUUGGAAGUCGCUGGCCCCGCUGAGGGGCUGUAGCUCCCUCUUCUCCCUCCCAUCGGCUCGCCCUCCCUUCCUCCGGGGUCCCCAGGAACAGCUAGAGGAGAGAGUGGCUCCAGCCUGGGGCCCAGCCUGCCCCCACUCUCCUGGCAGUGCUCCCUGCCUGAGGGACCCCUGUAAGACAGAGCUGUCCUUCUGUGGUGUGGGACAAACAAUCUCCAGGCCGAGGACAGAAGCCGCCUGGUCUGGGAGUGAGCCAGCUGAGGCAGGGUUGUGGGAAGAGGAUUUCUAAGCCUCUCCCAUGCUGCUUUGCAUGCAGCCUCUGAUGUGGCUAAUGUGGGUGUGGGGCUCAGGUGCCUUGCAAACUUCUGCUGUCUUCCCAGCGUGAGAUGAGCAAGCCCUUCACUUGUCUAGGCCUCAGUUUCUUCAUUUUAAAAUGAGGGGAGUCAUACCCACCUCAUAAAUGUACUGAGAGGUACACAGUAGCGUCUAAUAUAUGGUAGUUCCUGACUGAGUGCAAAUGAGCAGAGUGUUUUAGGGGUUUGUGGCCACCGGCCUUGCUCCUGAAACUGUGAGGAGCCAGUUGCCCAAGGAGGAGUCAAGGAUAGGCUCUGCGGGAGGUGGGGAGUCCCAGCCCCCCUGUUCCAGCCGGGACACGCCCUAGGAUGUUGGCCCAUCCGACUGGCUGGCCGAGCUUUGGGGCUCCCCUGUAUCCUCAGGAGGGUGGGGAGUUGCCGGGAUGGGGGUUCUGCGGUGCCCACCCUCUGGGAUAUCUCUCCGGCCCCUAACACGUGUCCCCAUCCGGAGGAACUCUGCUUCUUCUCCAUCUACACAGUUACCUGGGUGACAGCCUGUCACAGGAGCCUGACCCCACCGGAGCUGGCCACGUAACAUCUCCCUGGGGAAUGUGGGGUCGAGCGCUUACCCGUUCUGUCAGCACCCGGGCUCUUCGGUAGGACAGCCGUCAACUCCGGAGGGCCACGGGUUAUGGCCAGUCCCCUGGUCACCAUUUUUGUCGGUUUGCUGGUUUGUUUUUUUAAGGCUCCCAAACCUACAGAAAGGUUGCAAGACUUCACUCAACAGGCAUAUGCUCUUCACCGAAGUUUAUCAGUUGUUGACAUUUUUAUCCACAUUUGCUUGGUUUCUAUUUAUAUAGAGCACACAUUUUGUGGUUGCCAAACCAUUUGCAGGUGACUUUCAGACCUCGUGACACUUUACCCCACAUACACCUCUUAGGAACAGGGACAUGGUCCUGCGUAACCUUGAUAGAAUGAUUGUGCUGUGCGAAUCUAACAUCGGUACGAUGCUCGGCCUACUAUUUAGUGCCUAUCCUCUGAUAUGCAGUCUGCAAAGUGUCCUCUAGAGCUGCUUUUGCUUUGUCGUGAGAGAUGGUCCCGACGACGCUCUGCGCUGCCUUUAACGUAUGUCGCGUCCUCAGCCGUCCCGUGUCCCUUAUGACAUUGACGGUUGAAGAGUCAAGGCCGGCCGUUUGGCAGAAUGGACCUCAGCUGGGGUGUGCCCGGUGUGUCUUCACGAUGUGGCUCAGGUUACGGGGAGCGGGGAGGGGGUGCUCCGUGUGUGGGUGCUCCUCCCCAGCGGGUCACCUCAGGAGGCACCUGCUGUCCGCUGUCCUCUGGUUGGGGAGGUUAAAUUUAAUAAUGUGGUUAAUGGGAAUCUCCCAGACUUCACCGUUUAUCCCUUCCUAAGAAUCUUUCACAUAAUUCUUUCAACGUCUUUUACUGAUUCUUACCUAAAUUAGAUAAAAUGGCGAUUUUCUGUUUUCAUCAUUUAUUCUACGUUCUUCGGUAGAGAGGAGCUUUUCUUCCUGUACUUAAAAAACUUAAAACUUAUUGAUA
Molecule: long non-coding RNA, 5038 nt
Filed under: Canis lupus familiaris (dog)
Lineage: Eukaryota; Metazoa; Chordata; Mammalia; Carnivora; Canidae
Description: lncRNA (ENSCAFG00000058579.1)
Source: RNAcentral